UGUGCACAACUACUUACAAACCCCAA
RNAcentral lists this non-coding RNA (26 nucleotides) under Mus musculus (house mouse). Lineage: Eukaryota; Metazoa; Chordata; Mammalia; Rodentia; Muridae. The record is from RNAcentral.